This 250-nucleotide ribosomal RNA is filed under the name uncultured bacterium. RNAcentral describes it as "partial 16S ribosomal RNA". It matches the Rfam family "Bacterial small subunit ribosomal RNA", at positions 355 to 602 of the family's 1533-position model. The record is from RNAcentral.
GGAUGAAUAUUGCGCAAUGGACGAAAGUCUGACGCAGCCAUGCCGCGUGCAGGAUGACUGCCCUAUGGGUUGUAAACUGCUUUUGUACGGGAAUAAACCCUUCUACGUGUAGGAGGCUGAAGGUACCGUAAGAAUAAGCACCGGCUAACUCCGUGCCAGCAGCCGCGGUAAUACGGAGGGUGCAAGCGUUAUCCGGAUUUAUUGGGUUUAAAGGGUCCGCAGGCGGAUCGUUAAGUCAGUGGUGAAAGCC